Molecule: transfer RNA, 66 nt
Filed under: Eleutherodactylus pipilans (whistling chirping frog)
Lineage: Eukaryota; Metazoa; Chordata; Amphibia; Anura; Eleutherodactylidae
Description: tRNA-Tyr
Rfam family: tRNA
About the family: Transfer RNA (tRNA) molecules are approximately 80 nucleotides in length. Their secondary structure includes four short double-helical elements and three loops (D, anti-codon, and T loops).
Source: RNAcentral
AGGUAGGGUGGCUGAAUUAGGCGGCGGAUUGUAGCUCCGAUGAUAGAGGUGAAUCUCUCCUUACCA